Molecule: long non-coding RNA, 3862 nt
Filed under: Brassica napus (rape)
Lineage: Eukaryota; Viridiplantae; Streptophyta; Magnoliopsida; Brassicales; Brassicaceae
Description: long non-coding RNA (BNAP_LNC005967)
Source: RNAcentral
UCGUAAAGAAACUGUAAAGAUAUUCCUUGGAGAACAAGCUAAUACAAAGGUUUUAGAGUUUUUACACAGGAGUACUCUCUCUCCUCACACAAAAGAUCGAUGAUCACACUCGAUACAUUUCUCUUAUUCAUUACUACUCUUAUAGAAAGCAUAAAGCAAAUAGCCACGUCACAGACAACCCAUGUGCGCAGACAAUACGGUUAUUACGUCCUCUCCUCCUUCCUUGUAUUCUUAUCCUUCUAGAUCCUUUCUUGUCUCAUUCUUCUCCUCUACUGUUCCGACCUUGGGCCUCCUCUUGUAGUGAUGGAUAAUAGGUGGCCUUAUAGCCUCGUACAUAACAUAAGGUUAGAUCAGGAGGAUAAGAUCUGCGAGACUUGCUCUUCCCUUUCCAGGAACUUUCAUCACUCAGCAGUUUAAGUGAUUUAGAUCUUGGUCCCUCUAGUUCAUCUUCAAACUCUCUCCUCACACCUUCCUCUAACAAAGAACCAUCACUAUAAUGCCUAGAGUGUAACACACGCCUGUGAGUCUCAUCGGUCACUAUCUCUGGCGAUGGAGACGGUGGCAAUGAUGGCGAACUACACCGUGAUGACCCUUGAAGACUCUUUUCCUCCACAUUAGAGUUUAAAGACUCCCCAGAGAGAGAACGAGAAGGCGAGUAUCUGUUCUUCUGAUCAUUGGACUCAAAGCUAGUCCGUGAUGAAGAAGAAGAAACACUAGACCGGGUCGUAAACCGGGUUUCAUCGUCUCCCAUUGCCAUCAUCUCAGCCACGACCUCAUCAUCAUUAUCAGCCAAUGACUCCUCCUCAGCUUUCUCCUUCUCCUCCUCAAGAGCCGACCUUAAACUCCUAACCGGCAAGCCUAACGACUGGUGCACAACGUGACCAUCAAGACCAUAAGCUGGUCUCGCAACCACAACAACCUUAGACCUCCCUUGCAAAUACCGCGAGUUCCAGGCUUGCACUUGAUUGAUCUCACCGUACUCAGACUUAUUCGUCUCCUCUUCCUCCUCCUCGUCGAAAACAGAGGAAGCCUGGAGGAUUCCAGACACGUAAGACAAGGAAGACUCAUCUACACAACUCAUCCUCGACUCAACGUUUGAUUCUCCGACGUUCCUACGGCUGAACAAACCGUAAGCGACGGCAAUGCCGACGAAGAGGAGGUGAAUCAGCUCCCAGAGCUUGGUGAGAACCGUCUCUCCGACGAAGUCGGGAGCCUGAGAAGGGAACAAUGGCAAGGCGAGGAGGAACAUACCGAGUAGGAUAGGCUUAGAGAAGAAUCCUCCACCGGUUGGGGAGGCAGACGGCGGCGUAGCGGCGGCGGUGGUGCUUCGCGGAGGAGAAGGAUGCUUGGUGUAUGAACUCGGAGACGCCAUUUGAUUUUGAGAUCUCGAGUGGGAGAAGAAGGAAGAAGGAGUGUUGUUUAGGGCUUUAUUGGGGUUGUGGUAAGGUAUGUGGAGGAAGGAAAGAAGACUUCGUAGCGACGUAAAAGACAGAUCUAACAUUAAAGUUGUGUUUUGUUCAGACAAAGAGUGAGAAUGCAAACUAUCUUGCAACAGAGAGAGAGAGAGAGAUUAAAGAAGCUGCUUGUCGGAAAGUCUGUUGUCGGGAUUUACGGAAUUGACCCUUGGCGUUAUCUGCUACGCGAAGCAUUCGACGUCGGUUGAUAUUUUUUUAACAUUAGAACAAAAGAAGGGAAGAUCGUAUCUUUCAGUUCAGUGUCCUGCAAGAGAUUCUAGAUUGGUCUGACUUCCGUCUUAUGUGGACCCAGUUAAUGUCCAAAUGUUUAUGUUACGUCACGUACAUGGGCCUAUACAGUUUUAUUUUGAUUAGGAAAACUACUGGGCCGAUUAUUUCAAGCUAGGCCCAAGCAUAGAUUAUUUGAUGUUGAUUCUUGGUGGUUUUUGAAAAAUGGUGGAUCAUAUAAAUCUGAAUUUCGCAGUAAUUGCCGUUAAAAUUUUUUUUUUAAAAAAAAUUUAAUGGGCCAUGUGAAAGAAAAAAUCAUUUUCAUGUAAUGAUCUUCCUCGCAAUUUCGUUUGUGAAUCCUACUAUAUAAAAGGAGCUAAAUCAUAGCUUCCUAAGCCUAUCCACAUGUGCACAAAUAAUCAGGACCAAUCAAUAUGCCAGGUCAUCACGAAGUGGGCUUGCAAUUAAAAAAAUGAAAUCUUCACGGCCCAGUCAAUAGCCUCAUCCCGCAAUAGAAAGUGGCCGCUCUACAAGACCACUCACAAUAAACCUAGCAGACAUCGUCUACGUCUUAUCUUAUUGUAAUUCUUCUUCGUUACCUACCAAAUACUAUUUACUUUGGACAAUUACUUAUUUCAACUGUCAAACUAUUUUCUUUUGAAUUUUCUAUUUUUUCAGACAAUUUAUUAUUUCUUACUGUUUUAUUAUUUAUUUUUAGCUAAGUCACUAAUUUAUUAAUUUAAAAAUACCCUUAAUUAAUAUUAUAUAUAUUAAAAAUGAAUUUUUUAUUAGUAAUAUUAAAUUUCUAUUUUAUAUUAAAAUUUAGUUAGUUUUUCUUAUUUGUCAUAUUUUGUUAGGUUUUAGACUUUUAGAUAGGUUAUUGAUUUAUUAUUAAUUUCUAACUGAUUCGCUAAUGUGUUAAUUAAAACAAUACCCUUAAUGAAUUUUAUAUAUAAUUAAAAACAUGAAAUCGCGGCGGUAGUUGCGUACGGUGUCCUUUUGUCGCAGGCACAGCACCCGCUCCCCUGCACUCGUAUCUUGAGCCGGUGAGAACUGUUCCAACACCCGAAUCUUCAUCUGCUCCCAACUGAGAAACGGGUUUCGGUUUCUCUCCCAUCGGUACCACGGUAGAGCCUCGCCGGUAUAACACAUCCUAACCGCACGUAGCUUCUCUUCCUCCGUGAAAUCAAACAUCUCAAAGUACUGCUCGACACGGUGCACCCAACUCUCCACUCCGUCACCGUCAAACAGAGGAAUCUCUAUCUUCCGCGCGAGUGAAUCUUCUCGUUCCUCCAUAGCAGUCUUCCGGCGGUAUAGUGUCGCUGCGGAGCUUGUCUCCUGCCCCGACUCCGCUACGAACCUUCCACCGGAAACGCUCCUUGGUUCCCCCAUAAUCGACUUCCCCGAUCCUUCUCCCUGAUACGCUGUUGGUUUGAGAGCAUCGGCUGGGUUGGAGAUCAGAUCAGGGGUUAUCGGCCCUCCUACACGCCGAUCCUUCUCCCCUGUCGGAUCUACCUUCCUCAGCGCGAGUUUCUCAAACCCACUAGCCAUCAUCUUCAUCAACUCACUCAUUUGUUCCUUCAUCGUUGAUAGCUCCCCCUCCAUCGCGACAAAUCUCUCGUCGUCACGUUGGGCCAGCUCGAUCGCCUUGUCGUCGUUCUUCUUUGGUGCCAUCGCCAAGCCGCAGGUUCGUCUUGCUCUGAUACCAAGUUUGAUACGACUAGAUUGUAAAAGUUUGCACUCGUAAAGAAACUGUAAAGAUAUUCCUUGGAGAACAAGCUAAUACAAAGGUUUUAGAGUUUUUACACAGGAGUACUCUCUCUCCUCACACAAAAGAUCGAUGAUCACACUCGAUACAUUUCUCUUAUUCAUUACUACUCUUAUAGAAAGCAUAAAGCAAAUAGCCACGUCACAGACAACCCAUGUGCGCAGACAAUACGGUUAUUACGUCCUCUCCUCCUUCCUUGUAUUCUUAUCCUUCUAGAUCCUUUCUUGUCUCAUUCUUCUCCUCUACUGUUCCGACCUUGGGCCUCCUCUUGUAGUGAUGGAUAAUAGGUGGCCUUAUAGCCUCGUACAUAACACGCUCUCGUCAGGCAUGUGGUGAAGCUGAAACGCAAAGUUGACGAUCAAAGCCUCUCCUGGUUUGCAACCGAGUGCAGAUGGAGAGACGAUUAAAGAAG